GGGUUGUUCCCGCUUGGGACUAUUAGAAGUAGUGCUGCUGUGAAUAUUUUUGUACCUGUCUUUUGGUGGGUGGGUGUAUGCAUUCCUGUCAGGUAUGUACUGAGGGGUAGAAUACCUGGAUGAUAAAGCAUGUGACUGUUCAGCUUUAGUAGAAACUGCUAAACAAUCGUCCACAUUUAUACUUGCACUAGCAGAGCUUCUGUUGCAGCACCUCCC
Molecule: long non-coding RNA, 216 nt
Filed under: Homo sapiens (human)
Lineage: Eukaryota; Metazoa; Chordata; Mammalia; Primates; Hominidae
Description: LHRI_LNC773.1
Source: RNAcentral